UACGGAGGAUCCAAGCGUUAUCCGGAAUCAUUGGGUUUAAAGGGUCCGUAGGCGGCCCUGUAAGUCAGUGGUGAAAUCUCCCCGCUCAACGGGGAAACUGCCAUUGAUACUGCAGGGCUUGAAUUAUUGUGAAGUAACUAGAAUAUGUAGUGUAGCGGUGAAAUGCUUAGAGAUUACAUGGAAUACCGAUUGCGAAGGCAGGUUACUAACAAUGGAUUGACGCUGAUGGACGAAAGCGUGGGGAGCGAACAGG
Molecule: ribosomal RNA, 253 nt
Filed under: uncultured bacterium
Lineage: Bacteria
Description: partial 16S ribosomal RNA
Rfam family: Bacterial small subunit ribosomal RNA
Source: RNAcentral